This 465-nucleotide ribosomal RNA is filed under the name uncultured bacterium. RNAcentral's name for it is "partial 16S ribosomal RNA". It matches the Rfam family "Bacterial small subunit ribosomal RNA", at positions 338 to 795 of the family's 1533-position model. The record is from RNAcentral.
CCUACGGGUGGCAGCAGUAGGGAAUCUUCCACAAUGGGCGAAAGCCUGACGGAGCAACGCCGCGUGGGUGAAGAAGGUCUUCGGAUCGUAAAACCCUGUUGUUAGAGAAGAAAGUGCGUGAGAGUAACUGUUCACGUUUCGACGGUAUCUAACCAGAAAGCCACGGCUAACUACGUGCCAGCAGCCGCGGUAAUACGUAGGGGGCAAGCGUUAUCCGGAUUUAUUGGGCGUAAAGGGAACGCAGGCGGUCUUUUAAGUCUGAUGGGAAAGCCUUCGGCUUAACCGGAGUAGUGCAUUGGAAACUGGGAGACUUGAGUGCAGGAGAGGAGAGUGGAACUCCAGGUGUAGGGGUGAAAUGCGUAGAUAUAUGGAAGAACACCAGUGGCGAAAGCGGCUCUCUGGUCUGUAACUGACGCUGAGGUUCGAAAGCGUGGGUAGCAAACAGGAUUAGAUACCCGUGUAGUC